Molecule: long non-coding RNA, 2820 nt
Organism: Astatotilapia calliptera (eastern happy)
Lineage: Eukaryota; Metazoa; Chordata; Actinopteri; Cichliformes; Cichlidae
Source: Ensembl
GAAACCCCAAACAGGCCUUUUUUCAGCUCUCUCUGUCACUGUAGUAGGCUAGCUCUAUCCCUCUGAUGGGUGUUUGUGUAGAGCUGCUGUUGGGACUCUCCUUGGUUUUUACUUUUAUUUGACAAAUCUAGUCAUCCUGUGUGUCUGUGUGUGCCUCUGUUGUUCCUGUUUUAUGUUAUUUUUGAGGACUAGUUCUGAUUGUUGGUCUGUGGAUUGUGACAAUGUAUCCACACAAACAGGCAGAAGAAGGUGUGAGUUUACUUUCAGUGUUCUUAGUCAGUAGUUAAGCUAGUUAGCUCCUCCAUCAUCAGGUUAACAUCUCAGCAGCAAAUGGUAAGUGAAUCUUUUUUUUUCCUCUGAAGAAUGUAAAAUGGCCUGUGGUGCUGUGACUGCAGGAGCAGCAGGCCACAGACAGGAGCUUUCCAACACUUUGCCUUUUAUUCCCUCCAUCACACUUUGAUUCUUCUGUGAGUGAGAGUGGAUGUUUGGGACGUAGUUAUCUGUAGUUACCUUUUCUGACCCUUUGUGGCCACAUGCCUUUAUAAGGCUUCAUUUGAGCAGCCUUGGAGGUUAAGCAUCAGCACCAAACAUUUUACAUUUAAAACUGUUUGUUUUAAAUAAAAACUUCUUGGCCCUUUAAGAGGAUUUUUUUGCAGACAGAUAUGCAUGCGUAUGUUUCCUGUUUACAGCCGAGUUUUAUGGAAGUAUAAAUCUUAAGUGUAUCCUGUCAAGUGUGGUGCAUCAGGUUCAGUGCUGGCCCCGCCCUGUCCAGUUCAAAUCUGUUUUUUCUUUAUACUGACGAAUCAGUCAACUAACUCUCAGUUUCACAUUAAAAUGACAGAAUACUGGCUCCAAUGUAAGGAUCCACAUGUAAAGUGAAAUAUAUCAAUCAACAGAAAAUCCUUUAAGUAACUGUUGAUCACAUGUGAAGGAUAUUUGCAGGUAUUUUAUAAACCAAACCAUAAACAAAAACUGAUUUUUCAUCACUGAUAUUCUGUCGAUAUAUCUGUAGUUGGAAAUGCAUUUAAAUAAAUAAAAUCCAAGCAGGUUAAGAUGACUACUUCAGUCUCACUUAUCCUUAAAAAGCAACCCUGCCUUGUUUUCUUCUUUCCUCUGACACAUGAAAUACUGAACUGCAGCCAACAUUCACGAAUUAGAUGACGGGAAAAUUGUAAGAGAACCUCUGGGCUGGACCAGAGCUGCUGUACCUUCAAUAAUACUGUGUGGCAUGAGUCUGGAUUAGUUCCUAGGGGCUGCAUCAACAAGACAUGACUUCUUAGACAAUUGCACUAACUGAUCUGCUCUGAUUGCAGUGUUUAAAGCGUGACCCUCUGCAGGGCUGCAGGUAAGAUGCUGUUUUACACUUUUGGUAUAAAAAUACACAUUUGGUUCAGUAGAGAUUCAUUAAAAUUGGGAUGCAAGUAUUUUAAUAAAUCACUUUCUUUUUUUACUUUCAGCUUUUUGAACUUGAUGUAUCUUGAAAACUCAGACAUCUGGCGGAUGUUUAUAUUGUGUUUCUUUUUGGUGAAAGACUUCUUCUAAAAGCUGCAUGUAAAUGUCGUUUUUCAUUUUCUAUCUUUGUUUACAUUAGAGUAGGUAGCUUGUUACGACUCAACGUUCCCCACUGCUGUGUGCUGUUUGUGGUUUGCCUUUAAGGAUAUAGUCGGGGUACUCGUGUCAAAGCCUGCCAGUCUGUGGAAUCACUCAUUUCAAAUAUGUUCUCGUCCCUCCAGAGAUCACUGAUCCAUCCAAAGCUGCUGUCACAAACAACCUGAGAGGUGUUUGCAUUGAAAUCUCUGGUCUUUAUAUUUCAGAUCAGUAUGUGGGAGGCAGAUCACUGCAUGCUGAAAAUAUGCUGCGUUACCUGUAGUGCUCGGAUUUAUUCUUUACUUGUUUUUCCAGAAAUGCAUGUUUGUGAGUACGUGUGAGUGUUGGUCACAUUCAGUGCAUCUGGCCGUAGCAGCACAUCAUUACUGGUAUUUUUCACUGCAUUACCAGUAUGUUAUGUGCUGCUUCUGUCAGACACACAUCACUACAUUGCUGUGAUUAUCAUUUAUUUUGUUAGAAAUAAGCAGCACUGCAGUUUAAUGUGUCUAAAACUUCCCAGUGGACGAACAUAACGGUCUGUGGGUCGAUUAUGACUGUUACACAUUAAUAAAAGGUCAGCAUUUGAAAACUAAAAUGUCUACUGAAACUUAUUUUAGACCGAAAGAAAAGGUUCAAAUCUUGUCUCACCUUAAACUACAUGCAUGCUAAAGUUCUUUAAGGUCGCGAUGGCUUUGUUCCAAGCACAAUAAUAAAAUCUGAGCCAGGUUUGAGUGUCUACAGCGCUGAUGAAUCUUUACAAAACGCAAAUGAAUGUGUCAUGAUUUCCACUUAUGUGAGCACACAGAGAUGGUGUAUGAAGGAUAUCACACUGCUGGUCACUGUGUUCCUAUAAAUGUCCUUGAUGCCGUCAAUCACAUCCACCGUCAGCACCUUCACAGCUUUUAGCUCAAGGGAUAUUUCUUUAAAUCAUCCUUUUGCAAUUUACUUUUCCCUCUUCAGGAGAGAAUUAGCAUCACUUUUCUUAGUGUCUUAAUGUGUUGGGGUGCACUUGGAGGCUGGCAGAUGAAAACUAAAAUAAUGUUUUCUUCUAUUUAGACAAAAACAUUUCUUUGGGAACUAAACAGAAUGGAAAAGAUGCACAAGCACAUUCAAAUUCGCAGCUAUUGCAUCAUCCCCCAAACAUCUGUUUCUUUUAAGCCAACGUGUUUACGCAGCUAUGCUUCGCUGCACUUCAAAGCUCAAGCACUUUCAUGCAAAAUGAUACUGAUGAAA